This is a small nucleolar RNA of Tachyglossus aculeatus (Australian echidna), 138 nucleotides long. The record is from RefSeq and is a predicted model, not a curated record. NCBI's taxonomy places the organism in Eukaryota, Metazoa, Chordata, Mammalia, Monotremata, Tachyglossidae.
CCUCUCUCAGGAUCGCACCUGGAGAGUUUCCUGUACUCUACCAGUCUCGACUAUGGGAGGGAGAGUCAAGCAGAGGCCUAUCCAUUCCAUUCCUUGCUUGCGCAGUGGCCAGCGAGUGGAAGGCCAUCUGCUACAAGU